Molecule: ribosomal RNA, 735 nt
Filed under: Triticum aestivum (bread wheat)
Lineage: Eukaryota; Viridiplantae; Streptophyta; Magnoliopsida; Poales; Poaceae
Description: partial small subunit ribosomal RNA
Source: RNAcentral
AUGGGGGAUCGUGGGGGAGGCAGAUCUGGCGGAUGGCGCGACUCCUCGACGCGCGGUGGAUUCGGCGGGGGACGCAAGACGGCGCAGGCGAAUCCCUCUCGCCACAUGGUGUGGCAACGCCCAGAUCCGCCGCCGCCACCAUCUGGAGGGGCCAGAUCUGGCGGAGGUACUGAAGAUCGAUGGGAGGCUGCGGCAAGGGCGAUGGGUGGAGACGCCAAGGCACGGGCGAAUACGACGACGUCGACGGCUCAGACGGCUUCAUCGGCAGCGGUGGGUGCUCCAGAUCCAGCUGCCAAGGUCAACGACAAGCUCUGCCUCAACUGCAACCUCCCAGUAGCUGAAAGUGAGGAGGAGGGGGAAAGCGAUGAGGGAAAUCAUACUGAGCUUCUGCUCGAAUCUAUGGCCAGAGAAUAUGCAGCUGAGAAAAUGUCUUAUUCUGAAUCACCAGCUGAAAAAUCUUAUGAGGAAAAAACUGAUGAGAUAUCAGGGGAUGAGAUGGAAAGGUCUCCUUGUGUUGCUGGCAAUAUGAAAAAAGAUUAUGUGGUGUGGCCAUCUCUGCCUCAUAUUGUGCCUCUUGAUGAAGGGUCCACUGAAGGGGGGAUAGUCACAGUGUUUACACUGUUGAAUCGCCUUCUGGAUCGCCAAUGCAUGAAAAUAUGGCUCCUAAAGGGCAGGCUUCGCGCAGACAGUUUCAGAAACUGGAGCGUGUGGAGGAGACGGCCACCAACAGACUAA